Molecule: ribosomal RNA, 460 nt
Filed under: uncultured bacterium
Lineage: Bacteria
Description: partial 16S ribosomal RNA
Rfam family: Bacterial small subunit ribosomal RNA
Source: RNAcentral
CCUACGGGAGGCAGCAGUGAGGAAUAUUGGUCAAUGGGCGGAAGCCUGAACCAGCCAAGUAGCGUGAAGGAUGACGGCCCUACGAGUUGUAACCUGCUUUUAUACGGGAAUAACGCGCCUUACGUGUAGGGCUUUGCAUGUACCGUAUGAAUAAGGACCGGCUAAUUCCGUGCCAGCAGCCGCGGUAAUACGGAAGGUCCGGGCGUUAUCCGGAUUUAUUGGGUUUAAAGGGAGCGUAGGCCGCAUGUCAAGCGUGCUGUGAAAUGUCCGGGCUCAACCCGGGCCUUGCAGCGCGAACUGGCGUGCUUGAGUGCGCGGAAGGCAGGCGGAAUUCGUGGUGUAGCGGUGAAAUGCUUAGAUAUGACGAAGAACCCCGAUUGCGAAGGCAGCUUGCUGCAGCGGAACUGACGCUGAUGCUCGAAAGCGCGGGUAUCGAACAGGAUUAGAUACCCGUGUAGUC